This is a long non-coding RNA of Rhipicephalus sanguineus (brown dog tick), 298 nucleotides long. RefSeq lists it as uncharacterized. The record is from RefSeq and is a predicted model, not a curated record. The transcript has 4 exons. Lineage: Eukaryota; Metazoa; Arthropoda; Arachnida; Ixodida; Ixodidae.
UUGGCAAAGUGUGACUCCUCCGAAUGGUGACAUAACACCCGCCACGUCAUUGUCUGCCUGAAUUUUGGCCACGGUUUGGGUGGCGACUGAUGGCAAAAAUGAGCAAGGCAAUGGAUGUGAGCGAGCUGCCUCGUAGCCGAGAGAACAGAAGUCCUGCCGCUGUGAAGAGAUCCACACUCAAGAAGACUAAAUUCAAGGCUGGUCAUGCUGUGAAAUCCAAGGUCCCUGGGGCAGAUCAAGGCUUGGUGAUUGAACCAUCACACCGAUGCAUAACCCCUUUAACUGUGGACAGCGUGGU